GACUAACGCUGGCGGCAGGCCUAACACAUGCAAGUCGAACGCGAAAGGGACUUCGGUCCUUAGUAGAGUGGCGCACGGGUGAGUAACGCGUGGGAACGUACCCUGGAGUGGGGAAUAACCAUUGGAAACGAUGGUUAAUACCGCAUAAUGUCUUCGGACCAAAGAUUUAUCGCUCUUGGAUCGGCCCGCGUUAGAUUAGUUUGUUGGUGGGGUAAUGGCCUACCAAGACUACGAUCUAUAGCUGGUUUGAGAGGACGACCAGCCACACUGGGGCUGAGACACGGCCCAGACUCCUACGGGAGGCAGCAGUGGGGAAUAUUGGACAAUGGGCGCAAGCCUGAUCCAGCCAUGCCGCGUGAGUGAUGAAGGCCUUAGGGUUGUAAAGCUCUUUCAACGGUGAAGAUGAUGACGGUAACCGCAGAAGAAGCCCCGGCUAACUUCGUGCCAGCAGCCGCGGUAA
Molecule: ribosomal RNA, 460 nt
Filed under: uncultured bacterium
Lineage: Bacteria
Description: partial 16S ribosomal RNA
Rfam family: Bacterial small subunit ribosomal RNA
Source: RNAcentral